GUCCCCGUAGUUUAAUGGAUAAAGCAAGGGCCUCCGAAGCCCUAGAUAGAGGUUCGAUUCCUCCCGGGGACA
Molecule: transfer RNA, 72 nt
Filed under: bacterium
Lineage: Bacteria
Description: tRNA-Arg
Rfam family: tRNA
About the family: Transfer RNA (tRNA) molecules are approximately 80 nucleotides in length. Their secondary structure includes four short double-helical elements and three loops (D, anti-codon, and T loops).
Source: RNAcentral